GCUUCGCUGACGAGUGGCGGACGGGUGAGUAAUGUCUGGGAAACUGCCUGAUGGAGAGGGAUAACUACUGGAAACGGUAGCUAAUACCGCAUAACGUCGCAAGACCAAAGAGGGGGACCUUCGGGCCUCUUGCCAUCGGAUGUGCCCAGAUGGGAUUAGCUAGUAGGUGGGGUAACGGCUCACCUAGGCGACGAUCCCUAGCUGGUCUGAGAGGAUGACCAGCCACACUGGAACUGAGACACGGUCCAGACUCCUACGGGAGGCAGCAGUGGGGAAUAUUGCACAAUGGGCGCAAGCCUGAUGCAGCCAUGCCGCGUGUAUGAAGAAGGCCUUCGGGUUGUAAAGUACUUUCAGCGGGGAGGAAGGCGACAAGGUUAAUAACCUUGUCGAUUGACGUUACCCGCAGAAGAAGCACCGGCUAACUCCGUGCCAGCAGCCGCGGUAAUACGGAGGGUGCAAGCGUUAAUCGGAAUUACUGGGCGUAAAGCGCACGCAGGCGGUCUGUCAAGUCGGAUGUGAAAUCCCCGGGCUCAACCUGGGAACUGCAUUCGAAACUGGCAGGCUAGAGUCUUGUAGAGGGGGGUAGAAUUCCAGGUGUAGCGGUGAAAUGCGUAGAGAUCUGGAGGAAUACCGGUGGCGAAGGCGGCCCCCUGGACAAAGACUGACGCUCAGGUGCGAAAGCGUGGGGAGCAAGCAGGAUUAGAUACCCCGGUAGUCCACGCCGUAAACGAUGUCGACUUGGAGGUUGUGCCCUUGAGGCGUGGCUUCCGGAGCUAACGCGUUAAGUCGACCGCCUGGGGA
RNAcentral lists this ribosomal RNA (801 nucleotides) under uncultured bacterium. RNAcentral describes it as "bacterial SSU rRNA". It matches the Rfam family "Bacterial small subunit ribosomal RNA", at positions 82 to 879 of the family's 1533-position model. The record is from RNAcentral.